Mus musculus (house mouse) is the source of this 3938-nucleotide RNA transcript. It is a transcript of the gene named predicted gene 7444, with no coding region annotated. NCBI's taxonomy places the organism in Eukaryota, Metazoa, Chordata, Mammalia, Rodentia, Muridae. The record is from RefSeq and is marked inferred. The transcript has a single exon.
UCUUCUCUUGAACUUUUUCAAAUUCUCUGAAGAAGCCAAUGGGGUCUUUUUUACAUCAUGACUUCAUCUGAACGCAAAAACAAGAAAUAAGUUUUAUUUUUAAAAUGACUCUGACUCAGUUCUGAUAAGCAUUUUAGACAUGAGUCUACAUCAGCAAAUAGGAUCAGAGGGAGAUCGUCAACCUUCUGCUUCCUCUGUGAGCUUGCCUUCUGUCAAAAAGGCACCCAAACAGAGAAGAUUUUCAAUAGGCUCUCGUAUUCGGAGGAAGAUGGACAGCAAACGAAAAUCAAGGGAGCUCAAUGGUGGAGUGGAAGCAAUUGCAAGGAUUGAGAGGAUACAUUCUGAAAUGUGUGCUGAUAAGAACUCCAUUUUCUCGACAAAUACCUCUUCUAACAAUGGAUUGACUUCCAUCAGCAAACAAACUGGAGACUUUAUGGACUGUCCUCUGUGCCUUUUACAGCUUUCUCAAGACAGAUUUCCUGAUAUCAUGACAUGUCAUCAUAGAUCUUGUGUGGAUUGCUUACGACAAUACCUAAGGAUAGAAAUCUCUGAAAGUAGAGUUAACAUCAGUUGUCCAGAAUGCCCUGAACGGUUUAACCCCCAUGACAUUCGCUUGAUAUUAAGUGAUGAUGUCUUAAUGGGAAAAUAUGAAGAAUUUAUGCUUCGACAGUGGCUUGUUGCAGAUCCUGACUGUAGGUGGUGUCCGGCUCCAGACUGUGGAUAUGCUGUGAUAGCAUUUGGAUGUGCCAGGUGUCCAAAGUUAACGUGUGGGCGAAAAGGCUGUGGAACAGAGUUCUGCUACCACUGUAAACAGAUCUGGCAUCCCAAACAGACCUGUGAGGAUGCUCUAUGGGAAAGAGCCCAGCGUUUAUGCUUAAGAACUUUACCCUUUUCACCUAUUAGUUACAAACAGGAAUCUAGAGCAGCAGCUGAUGACAUAAAGCCGUGUCCACGAUGUGCUGCUUAUAUAAUCAAGAUUGAGGAUGGGAGUUGCAAUCAUAUGACAUGUGCUGUCUGUGGUUGUGAGUUUUGUUGGUUGUGCAUGAAAGAAAUCUCCAAUUUACAUUAUCUAAGUCCCUCGGGUUGUAGUUUAUGGGGGAAAAAACCCAGGAGCCGAAAGAAGAAAAUCCUGUGGCAGCUGGGAACCCUUGUUGGUGCUCCCAUAGGGAUUGCUCUCAUAGCAGGCAUUGCCCUGCCUGCCAUGAUCAUUGGCAUUCCUGUGUAUGUGGGCCGCAAGAUUCAUGAUUUCUAUGAAGGCAGAGAUGUUUCAAAACACAAGCGGAAUAUGGCCAUAGCAAGUGGUGUUACCCUGUCUGUAAUCAUCUCUCCGGUGGUAGCUGCAGUGACUAUAGGCAUUGGUGUUCCUACCAUGCUAGCUUAUGUCUAUGGUGUGGUCCCAAUUUCUCUCUGCAGAAACAGGGAUUGUGGAGAGUCUGCAGGAAAUGGGAAAGGAGUAAGGAUUGAGUUUGAUGAUGAAAAUGACAUAAACGUAGGUGGGACUAACACAGCCACGGAUACAACAUCAGUAGCAGAAGCAAGGCACAACCCUAGCAUAGGAGAGGGAAGGGUCAGCGGCCUAACUGGCAGUUUGAGUGCAAGUGGAAGCCACAUGGAUGGAAUAGGCACUAUUGGCAACAACCUGAGUGAGACAGUCGGUACCAUAGCCUUAGCUGGAGCUAGUAGCACAGGCAGUCUGUCAGGAAGUGCCAUGGUAAACUGUUUCAGCAAUUUGCAAGUUCAAGCAGAGGUGCAGAAAGAAAUGUGUAAUCUCAGUAGAGAAUCUGGCACAGUGAGUUUGGGAAGAGUUUGUAAUAACAGCAGCACCAAAGCAGUGGCAGGAUCCAUUCUGAACUCCUACAUCCCUCUCGACAGAGAAGGGAACAGUAUGGAAGUGCAAGAUGAUAUUGAAUCAAAGUCAUUCAAGUUCCAACACAGCCGUGGAAGCAGCAGUGUAGAUGACAGUGGUGCUGCCUGAGGCCACAUGGACAGGUCAUACAGUGGCUUGCCUGAAGGUAAAUCCAGUGCUACCGAGUGGUCCAAGGAAGCAACAGGAGGAAAAAAGUCAAAAAGUGGUAACCUGAGAGAAAAGGAUAACAUGAAGAUCAAUGAGGCCAGAGAGGACGAGGAUGCACAGUUGUUACAGCCACAAAGCACAGAUUUAAGUGAGUUUGAGGUGCCAUCCCUGAGUGACAACUUGCCAUCUGUAGCAGUCUCCCACUACAGUCACUCUUCUUACUUAGAAAGCAUAAGAAUGUCCUAUAGUCACCAUUCCAGGGGUUGCCACGCCCACUUCCCAGCUGUGAACACCCUUCCUGAGGUAAAAAGGGAUGGGCUGAAACAUUCACCACACCAGGGCAGCAGUGCUCUGCUUUCCAAAACUGCUUUCUGUUCAGAAGUCCCACAGUCCAGCCAUGCAGCAGACGAGCAUGGCACCAACUGACGUUGGGGGAAGCUGAUGGUGAAUGGUGAUGCACUGAGAGAGCCAAAUAAUAACCACUCGCACCAGACAGCAGACUUGAAAGUUGCUGUCCAGACUACAGUGUAGGCCCAUGAAUGCUGCAGAGUAAGAACCACAGAACAACCUUGUUGGGAGCUCGUUGAACCAUCUGUGACUGUUAAGCUUAAGUUACCAGCAAAAGCCAGGUUUUAUAAUUGUAAUGCAAAUACAAUUUAUAUGUCUAGCAAAGCAUUGUGUUUCUGGUGGCAUUAAUUACCAAAUUAUGAAAUGAAGACUUUAAAGUGUUUGUACCAGAAUAAAACACUGCUUGAUGCACAUACAGUUGUAUUUAGAUAGAGAAUUGGCUUAAUUUGUAAUCAUGAGAUACUAACACUGUUCUAUGGCAUUCUUAAGGAAAAUUGAGGCUUAGGGAUAAGUGGUUAGUGACAUAUUAUUGAAUCACUAAAGGAUGGAACUUGGCAGAUUACUCAGUAUAUGAUCCUCUUGGUAACAUUACUCUUCAUAACUGAGCUGAAAUGUCAUUUCUUCAUAUGCAAUGUAGAUAUCAGGCUUAAUGCUGCCCAUUGGUAGCCAUUCAGAUACUUAGACACUUGAGCAAGAUCGGGACAGUUUUGGCACAACUCUGAAGUAGAAAUACUUGGUACUGUUACAUACCUCUAGUGAGGUUGUUGCCAUUUUAGAAGAAGAAGGUAAAAGUAGGUAACAAACAGACUGACAACAGCAGAAGACAAUCCUAUUAGGAUGUAAGUAUUACUGUCACCUGUCACCUGUCACUGAGGCAAGUUAGUGCCCUUUGAUUCUUGAUGCCUUUGAGAGAGGCUGGAUUUUAUGAGCCUCCUCAUUUGAGGAUUUUGCUCUCUCAUUUCCCAUAAUGUCUUCUCUAGUCACCUAGGAUAAUAAAGACAAAUACAGCAAAUAGGUAAACAUAAAUGUGAUUAUUAACUACACUGAAAAAGUAUUCACCUACAAAGACACAUGCAGCCUUUAGAAAAUUUAACAUUACACAACCUCAACUUUUACCAUGACUAUCUUUUGAACCAUGAAAUCAAAACAAUGCAGAGCUUACACCAAGCUUACAUAAAAGGUCAAUGUGUGGCUUUGUUUCCUUUUGCUUUUGUUUACAGGGAACGUUCAGCUGACAUGAGCAGAGGUUGGCCAAAAUACUGCCUGCACUAUGGACUUCCCACACAACUCUCAUGGCAGACUGCCCUCAUGGUGGUCAAGUACUCCACCUUAGGUGUUUCCUCUAAGUGUUACCAUUAUGGUGACUCUGAGCAUUUUCUUUUGAUAAAGAAGGAAAAUGUGCAGGCUACAAUCCUGUACCAUCAUUUUCCUCACUGUUUCCAUUAAUCUGCUUAGAGACCACUAGUUCUUUUAGCUGAUUCUGCUCAUUAUUGUGUUUGUACAUUUGUUUGCAUUCUAAUUGUGUUCAGUAAUGAGUGUGCAAACAGGAGACAUGAAAUGAAUGUAAAUAAUAAUG